This 520-nucleotide unclassified non-coding RNA is filed under the name uncultured Scutellospora. Its description in RNAcentral is "SSU rRNA". It matches the Rfam family "Eukaryotic small subunit ribosomal RNA", at positions 569 to 1093 of the family's 1831-position model. The record is from RNAcentral. Lineage: Eukaryota; Fungi; Glomeromycota; Glomeromycetes; Diversisporales; Gigasporaceae.
AGCAGCCGCGGUAAUUCCAGCUCCAAUAGCGUAUAUUAAAGUUGUUGCAGUUAAAAAGCUCGUAGUUGAAUUUCGGAGUUCUACCGUCGGUCGGGCUACCAAGUCUGUACUGGUGUGUAGAAUUCCUACCUUCUGGGGAACUAUCAUGUUAUUAAUUUAGCGUGGUGGGAAACCAGGACCUUUACCUUGAAAAAUUAGAGUGUUCAAAGCAGGCUUAUGUCUGAAUACAUUAGCAUGGAAUAAUAGAAUAGGACGGUGGUCCUGUUUUGUUGGUUUCUGAAUCACCGUAAUGAUUAAUAGGGAUAGUUGGGGGCAUUAGUAUUCAAUUGUCAGAGGUGAAAUUCUUGGAUUUAUUGAAGACUAACUUCUGCGAAAGCAUUUGCCAAGGAUGUUUUCAUUAAUCAAGAACGAAAGUUAGGGGAUCGAAGACGAUCAGAUACCGUCGUAGUCUUAACCAUAAACUAUGCCGACUAGGGAUCGGACGAUGUUAAAUUUUAUUGACUCGUUCGGCGCCUUACGG